GGUCUUAGAUACAUGAUGGCACUGUUGGCUUCCUGAAGACCUCUUCAUCCUGCAGAAGGUGCAACUCCACAGCAUCCUGAGAGGUUGGACACAAGGUGAGCAGAGGGCAAAGCCCCUGGAAAUGGCCACCAUUCCUGUGGCUGCCACUGUCUUCCCUCAGGAAGGAUGGGCUCAGCCAUGAGGGUGGGACACCUCCCAGAGUGUCCAAGAUCCCCACAUGGGGUCUCCAGCAUUGGCCCUUCCCUCGCAUCAGUGGUAGCGGCAGGCGGGCAGCCUGAGGAAGGUGGUGUCACUGUUAAGUGUGGGCUCUCUUUUCCCUGUCUGAGCUGCUGGGAGCACAAAGGAACCCUGCCUGCCAGGCUUGAGUGUCAGAAUCUGGGCUUUCACCUGCAGGGACCUCAGGCCUCCAUCAGCCAGGCUUGGAAAGAAUGAAUGGUGCCUCUCGGUGAAUUACUACAACCUGAAUCCUGUGACCCCACCUGUGAUGGCCCAAUGUUAUUGAAAUUACUGACUCCAUCCACUUAGCAAGUGGUAAAUACUCUGCAGGCAUAGA
This is a long non-coding RNA of Homo sapiens (human), 553 nucleotides long. The record is from Ensembl. NCBI's taxonomy places the organism in Eukaryota, Metazoa, Chordata, Mammalia, Primates, Hominidae.